Molecule: non-coding RNA, 311 nt
Organism: Pelobates cultripes (western spadefoot toad)
Lineage: Eukaryota; Metazoa; Chordata; Amphibia; Anura; Pelobatidae
Source: the annotation of a GenBank genome assembly
UGAAUUAAGAUGCUAAGUAGCAGACAGGUGCUGCUAAUCAACUUUCAACCUUGAUUAAUUUAUCAUCAGCAAAUGUGACCACCUCUAUAAAAGCCAAAGUUUUCGCAGAUUGCAGUCCAGGAGCAUUCAGGUGUGUGUUAAUACAUCCAUAAUGAUCUUAAAGAAGCAAUUGUUGCUGCCUAUGAAUAUGGAAAGAGUUACAAGGCCAUUUCCAAACAAUUUAAAAUUCAUCAUUGUACAGUGAGAACGAUUAUACAAAAGAGGAAAACAUUCAAGACAGUUUCCAAUCUUCCCAGGAGUGGACAUCCCAG